AAAUUCUUUUUCUAGUGAUUGGAAUGAUGGGAAUCCAAACCCCUUUCAGAGUAACAAUUGGAGGGCAAGUCUGGUGCCAGCAGCCGCGGUAAUUCCAGCUCCAAUAGCGUAUAUUAAAGUUGUUGCAGUUAAAAAGCUCGUAAUUGGAUAUCUGCUGGAAGCAGCCAGUCCGCCCUUUGUGGGUGUGCACUUGGUGAAUUCUGGCAUCCUCCUGAUUGGUGUCAUCAUCACUUCAUUGUGUUGGUGGCAGCUGUCAGGACCGUUACUUUGA
Molecule: ribosomal RNA, 271 nt
Filed under: Sarcocystis sp. ex Vulpes lagopus
Lineage: Eukaryota; Apicomplexa; Conoidasida; Eucoccidiorida; Sarcocystidae
Description: partial 18S ribosomal RNA
Rfam family: Eukaryotic small subunit ribosomal RNA
Source: RNAcentral